This 467-nucleotide ribosomal RNA is filed under the name uncultured bacterium. Its description in RNAcentral is "partial 16S ribosomal RNA". It matches the Rfam family "Bacterial small subunit ribosomal RNA", at positions 28 to 506 of the family's 1533-position model. The record is from RNAcentral.
GACGAACGCUGGUGGCGUGCUUAACACAUGCAAGUCGAACGGAAAGGCCCUGCUUUUGUGGGGUGCUCGAGUGGCGAACGGGUGAGUAACACGUGAGUAACCUGCCCUUGACUUUGGGAUAACUUCAGGAAACUGGGGCUAAUACCGGAUAGGAGCUCCUGCUGCAUGGUGGGGGUUGGAAAGUUUCGGCGGUUGGGGAUGGACUCGCGGCUUAUCAGCUUGUUGGUGGGGUAGUGGCUUACCAAGGCUUUGACGGGUAGCCGGCCUGAGAGGGUGACCGGCCACAUUGGGACUGAGAUACGGCCCAGACUCCUACGGGAGGCAACAGUGGGGAAUAUUGCACAAUGGGCGGAAGCCUGAUGCAGCAACGCCGCGUGCGGGAUGACGGCCUUCGGGUUGUAAACCGCUUUCGCCUGUGACGAAGCGUGAGUGACGGUAAUGGGUAAAGAAGCACCGGCUAACUACGU